This 469-nucleotide ribosomal RNA is filed under the name uncultured bacterium. RNAcentral's name for it is "partial 16S ribosomal RNA". It matches the Rfam family "Bacterial small subunit ribosomal RNA", at positions 28 to 507 of the family's 1533-position model. The record is from RNAcentral.
GACGAACGCUGGCGGCGUGCCUAACACAUGCAAGUCGAACGGCAAGGCCCUGCUUGCAGGGUGCUCGCGUGGCGAACGGGUGAGUAACACGUGGGUGAACUGCUCCUUACUUUGGGAUAAGCCUGGGAAACGGGGUCUAAUACUGGAUAGGACCAUGCUGUUGGUGGUGUGGUGGCAUGAUUAGUUUCGGUAAGGGAUGAGCUCGCGGCCGAUCAGCUUGUUGGUGGGGUAAUGGCCUACCAAGGCGUCGACGGGUAGCCGGCCUGAGAGGGAGGGCGGCCACAUUGAGACUGCGACACGGGGCAGAAGCCUGCAGGUGGCAGCAGUGGGGAAUAGUGCGCUAUAGGCGCGCGCCUUGUGCGGCGACGCCGCGCGGGUGGUGACGCCCUUCUGGUUGGAAAGUCCUCCCUGGCAUGACGAAGCCCGGGGGAUGACGGUAGUGGUAGAAGAAGCACCGGCUAACUACGUG